This 563-nucleotide ribosomal RNA is filed under the name uncultured bacterium. RNAcentral describes it as "bacterial SSU rRNA". It matches the Rfam family "Bacterial small subunit ribosomal RNA", at positions 338 to 916 of the family's 1533-position model. The record is from RNAcentral.
CCUACGGGAGGCAGCAGUGGGGAAUCUUGCGCAAUGGGCGAAAGCCUGACGCAGCCAUGCCGCGUGAAUGAUGAAGGUCUUAGGAUUGUAAAAUUCUUUCACCGGGGACGAUAAUGACGGUACCCGGAGAAGAAGCCCCGGCUAACUUCGUGCCAGCAGCCGCGGUAAUACGAAGGGGGCUAGCGUUGCUCGGAAUUACUGGGCGUAAAGGGAGCGUAGGCGGAUAGUUUAGUCAGAGGUGAAAGCCCAGGGCUCAACCUUGGAAUUGCCUUUGAUACUGGCUAUCUUGAGUAUGGGAGAGGUAUGCGGAACUCCGAGUGUAGAGGUGAAAUUCGUAGAUAUUCGGAAGAACACCAGUGGCGAAGGCGGCAUACUGGCCCAUUACUGACGCUGAGGCUCGAAAGCGUGGGGAGCAAACAGGAUUAGAUACCCUGGUAGUCCACGCUAGUAAACGAUGAGUGCUAGUUGUCGGCAUGCAUGCAUGUCGGUGACGCAGCUAACGCAUUAAGCACUCCGCCGUGGGGAGUACGGUCGCAUGAUUAAAACGUCAAAGGAAUUGACGG